Molecule: ribosomal RNA, 397 nt
Filed under: uncultured bacterium
Lineage: Bacteria
Description: bacterial SSU rRNA
Rfam family: Bacterial small subunit ribosomal RNA
Source: RNAcentral
GGCAGACGGGUGAGUAACAUGUAGGUAUCUGCCCUUUGGCCUGGAAUAACACGAGGAAACUUGUGCUAAUACCGGAUAAGUCUUUACAGAGAAAGCUUUAUGCACCAUUGGAUGAGCCUGCACUUGAUUAGUUAGUUGGUAGGGUAAUAGCCUACCAAGACUUUGAUCAAUAGCUGAUUUGAGAGGAUGAUCAGCCACAUUGGGACUGAGACACGGCCCAAACUCCUACGGGAGGCAGCAGUGGGGAAUCUUGCACAAUGGAGGAAACUCUGAUGCAGCGAUGCCGCGUGAGUGAAGAAGGCCCUUGGGUUGUAAAGCUCUUUCGUCGGGGAAGAAAAUGACUGUACCCGAAUAAGAAGGUCCGGCUAACUUCGUGCCAGCAGCCGCGGUAAUACGA